AACGUAGGACGCAAGCGUUAUCCGGAUUUACUGGGCGUAAAGCGCGGGCAGGCGGUCUUGCCAUUCUGAUGUGAAAUCUCUCAGCUCAACUGGGAGCAGCCAUUGGAAACUACAAGACUGGAGUCUGACAGAGGUAGGCGGAAUUCCGGGUGGAGUGGUGAAAUGCGUAGAGAUCCGGAGGAACACCAGAGGCGAAGGCGGCCUACUGGGUCAGUACUGACGCUGAGACGCGAAAGCCAGGGGAGCGAACGGG
This 253-nucleotide ribosomal RNA is filed under the name uncultured bacterium. RNAcentral's name for it is "partial 16S ribosomal RNA". It matches the Rfam family "Bacterial small subunit ribosomal RNA", at positions 524 to 776 of the family's 1533-position model. The record is from RNAcentral.